UUGCCCUAAUCAAUCCUGAUUUUCCCUCCUAAGCCGUCAUUAAUUGCAAGGCUUAUCUGCCAACCACCCACUUCCUCUUGGGCGCAUUUAUUGUGACCUUUCAUGUACAUCAUUCAACCAAUCAAAUCCUUUGCUUUCCCACUUCUCCCUCACAGCCCAAUAAAUGUACAAUGACCAAUUAACUUACUGCUAAAAACGUGCCCCUUUUAUUGGUAACCGGGUGAUGGAGCAGAUCAAGGAAUAAACUGUUGAGAACAUCAGAAGUCCUCAAACAGAAUGAACGGCGUAAGUUUUAAUAUAGUCACAACAAUUUCUUUCUCCCUCAUAGAACUUCUCUUCUCUUCAUCAUCUCCUCUCCCAGUUUUUUUUUUUUUUUUAUCUCUUUUCAUCUUCAUCUCCCUCAUAGAACAAUAGUUUACUCACACUCAUAGCCACCACUUCCAGCCACCACAUGAGGAUGAACCAUCCUGCUUAUAUGUAGCUCUUAAGGCUUAAGUGGCGUACCUAUCAUGUCGAGUACAGUCGAGAUGAGGUUUGUGCGAUAAGAACUGCAUCUUUUUGUGUUUUGUUUGACACAAGAUGUGUUUUCUGUUGAUUCUAUAAUAUUCAGAUUUUAUGUCGAACAUGUUAUAUGUGAUGUUGUGCAAGGUUUGUAAAAGCAACAAGAUUAUCAAUUGAAAUGAUAGGAUUUUUGCUAGAGGAUAAUAGUUGUAAAACAAAAUUGACAAUUGCUAUUUGAGUUAGUAUCUUAAUUCAUAUUCGAGUAUAGAAUUAGUUUUAUCAACAUUCAAAUCAGUUUUAGAAAAAAAAUAUUGCAACUCAUGCCUCUAUAUGUACCUUAAUGACGUUUCUGUUUAAAAAAUUAAACAAGUUUUGUUUGUAUUCAACUUAAAAAAUAUGGGGUUGUUGUUUUCUGAACUGCCAUUUUUAUAUGGAGGAGUGCUAGCAACACUCUCUAGAACACUCCCUCUAAUACUCACUCUCUUAUUGGUUUAAAUCAUUGUGGGUCUACACAUUGGAAAUAGAACCCACACAAAGUGGUGGGACAUACAUUUUUUUCAUUCAAUAGAAAAGUGAGUGUUAGAGAGAGUGUUCAAAAGUGAGUUUUGUUAACAUUCCUCUUUUAUAUUAACAUAAAUAUAUGCCCAUUUUGUUCCAUUUGUAUGCAUAUAAGAUCUAUUUUUUGGCAGUUGUUACAAUGAUACGUGUAAUUAAUUUCAUUAUCAGACUAGCACAUUUGUACUGCUCAAUGCACUUAGCCAAAAAAUACAUAGAGCCACCAUGAAUGAGCAUAAACCAACUGAUGUAAACCUUAACUGAUGGUUCCAUAGCACAUCAGAAUUGCAACUACUAAUUUGAAUUCUUUGUUUGAUUGUAUUCUUUGCAACUACUAUAGUUAUUUGUGUUAACUAUAGUUUAUUCAAAUCAGUUUGUUCUAACCAUUUAUAUCAUUCAAAGUUUGUUCUAACUAUUGAAGGAGUUGAUUCCGAUAACAAGGACAAAGUUGGUGUAGCCGAUUCAGAUGUAACACCGAUUAGCAAGUCUUUGGAUGACAUUGAUGUAGGUGGGUGUGAAGCAUCGAGCACAAAAGAACCAAAAUUGGUGUCUGCUUCAAAGGUAGAUGCAGUUGCUCCAGUUGUGACUUCGAACACUCCAAACUCCUUGGGAAAGAGAGCAGCUGAGAAUGUGGUUUCAGUUGUUGAUGUCGCUGAAUUUGAUGGAUCCACACCAAAAGAGCCAAAACUGGUUCGGUGUGAAGAUCGAAGCUGAGGAGUGAAGUCUUUUGCAAAAUUUUCAACUACCAGUAGUGUUACUGAUGUCCAAGUCUGUUGUCCUUUCAUUCUGUUUUGUUUUGGUUUUUAAUUGUCGCGUUGAAAUCUUCGGUUGCAUUUUGUUGCCAUACUUAUUUCGUUUUUAUGUUUGACAUUCUGUAAUGUUUUUUUGGUUUGCGUCAAUGGCUUUUUUACUUUAACUGAAGACUUGAAUUAUCUAACGUGUUCUGAAAGUAGUAUGAUCUAUAAGCACUUUGUUUCAUGCGCUUAAA
This is an RNA transcript of Medicago truncatula (barrel medic), 2044 nucleotides long. RefSeq lists it as uncharacterized. The transcript has 2 exons. Lineage: Eukaryota; Viridiplantae; Streptophyta; Magnoliopsida; Fabales; Fabaceae. The record is from RefSeq and is a predicted model, not a curated record.